CCAAUCUGCCUCACUCUCGCUACUCUCCUUCAACGCCGCCGCCACCUGCACCAGCAGCUGGUUCCCUUCCUCCCAAAACCAAGAUUUGCUUCCUUUUAUAGCUGUGGUGUCCGUAGAAUGCACAAAUGUUCGAAUAAACACUUUAUUCAAAGCAGCUUCUUUGAAUGGGAUGAGUUAUUUUGUUUUCAUCGUUUAUUCUUAUGCAAUUUCAACUCUUGUUCUUCUGCCUGUCCCCUUCAUUUUUUACAGGUUCUUAGCUCAGAUAGUUGGAACUAAAGGUGUAGAAUACAUUUCCCCAAAACCAAGAACAAAUAAGGCCAAUUCUUCUUUUUUUGAAGACCUGAUUUAGGGUACCUUUACUGGAGAUGGAACCGAAUCCAAAGAAAUUUCUUCAUCUCAUGUGGAACAAGCAUAUUAGUAUGAAAAACUGUAUGAAAAACGGUCUUUCCUUGGUUUUGGGAGGAAGGGAACUAGCUACUGGUGCAGGUGGCGGUGGCGGUGGCGGUGGCGGUGUUGAAGGAGAAGGAGGCGAGAGAGAGAGAGAGAGGCAGAUUGGAAAUGGCGUGCUAAGAAGAAUCAGGGUCAAGCUAACCUUAAGUUGGGUUAGUGUCCCACGUGGGUCCCACAUUUAUGAUAUUUUGAUGAGUUCGUAAUUAGGGUACAAUUUUUAUAAAGGUUUAAAAUUGAGGUGCACGAAAAGUUAAGUUCAAAAUAAAGUGCAGUUGUUACGAGCCGUAAAUUAUAGAAUAUUUAGCAUGGGUUACCUUUUUUAUUAUUUAUUAAGUGUUUAAUUGAUCUAAUUUUAUAAA
Jatropha curcas is the source of this 809-nucleotide long non-coding RNA. RefSeq lists it as uncharacterized. The record is from RefSeq and is a predicted model, not a curated record. Lineage: Eukaryota; Viridiplantae; Streptophyta; Magnoliopsida; Malpighiales; Euphorbiaceae.